This 253-nucleotide ribosomal RNA is filed under the name uncultured bacterium. RNAcentral's name for it is "partial 16S ribosomal RNA". It matches the Rfam family "Bacterial small subunit ribosomal RNA", at positions 524 to 776 of the family's 1533-position model. The record is from RNAcentral.
UACGUAGGGGGCAAGCGUUGUCCGGAAUCAUUGGGCGUAAAGCGCGUGUAGGCGGUUCGGUAAGUCUGCUGUGAAAGUCCAGGGCUCAACCCUGGGAUGCCGGUGGAUACUGUCAGACUAGAGUACGGAAGAGGCGAGUGGAAUUCCUGGUGUAGCGGUGAAAUGCGCAGAUAUCAGGAGGAACACCAAUGGCGAAGGCAGCUCGCUGGGACGGUACUGACGCUGAGACGCGAAAGCGUGGGGAGCGAACAGG